RNAcentral lists this long non-coding RNA (266 nucleotides) under Mus musculus (house mouse). RNAcentral describes it as "sirtuin 1 antisense long non-coding RNA". Lineage: Eukaryota; Metazoa; Chordata; Mammalia; Rodentia; Muridae. The record is from RNAcentral.
AAUCCAGUCAUUAAACGGUCUACAAAACAUAUGCCAGAUUACAUAAAAGUCUAUGUACAAUAUAAAAAGAGCUGAAAACAGUCUUCACUGUAAAAAUAAUUUAAAACAAAUUUUUCAAUUUAAAAUAUUGUCUAUAGCACAAACACAUCAUGCAAAUGGAAAACUAAAUAUACUGCAUUCUUUAGUGUAGCCAAAUAAAUUCAGUUAUCUUUUAGGUAGGGAAAUGAGCUACUUAAUACUUUUCUCCUCUGGCAGUAAUGGUCCUA